This is a regulatory RNA element of Methanosarcina sp. MTP4, 100 nucleotides long. It matches the Rfam family "Pyrrolysine insertion sequence mttB". The record is from Rfam. NCBI's taxonomy places the organism in Archaea, Methanobacteriati, Methanobacteriota, Methanomicrobia, Methanosarcinales, Methanosarcinaceae.
UAGUCUGACGCCAAGGUUCCGGACGACCAGGCUGGACACGAAAAGACAAUGACCUGUCUUCUUCCUGCCCUCUCUGGUGCAAACACUCUCUACGGUGCCG